GACGAACGCUGGCGGCGUGCUUAACACAUGCAAGUCGAACGGAAAGGCCCUGCUUUUGUGGGGUGCUCGAGUGGCGAACGGGUGAGUAACACGUGAGUAACCUGCCCUUUACUUUGGUAUAACUUCUGGAAACUGGGGCUAAUACCGGAUAGUAGCUCCUGCUGCAUGGUGGGGGUUGGAAAGUUUCCGCGGUUGGGGAUGGACUCGCGGCUUAUCAGCUUGUUGGUGGGGUAGUGGCUUACCAAGGCUUUGACGGGUAGCCGGCCUGAGAGGGUGACCGGCGACAUUGGGACUGAGAGACGGCCCAGACUCGUACGGGAGGCAGCAGUGGGGAAUAUUGCACAAUGGGCGGAAGCCUGAUGCAGCAACGCCGCGUGCGGGAUGACGGCCUUCGGGUUGUAAACCGCUUUCGCCUGUGACGAAGCGUGAGUGACGGUAAUGGGUAAAGAAGCACCGGCUAACUACGUG
RNAcentral lists this ribosomal RNA (468 nucleotides) under uncultured bacterium. RNAcentral's name for it is "partial 16S ribosomal RNA". It matches the Rfam family "Bacterial small subunit ribosomal RNA", at positions 28 to 507 of the family's 1533-position model. The record is from RNAcentral.